UGUUAAAAAUUUCAUCCAUUUGUACUAUUAAAAAUUAGUGUGGUUGACGAAAUGUGUACCUCAUACUGAUGUACAGUGAUCGGUUUUUAACAAUAAAAAUGGAAGAAAUUUUAACA
Molecule: non-coding RNA, 116 nt
Organism: Gossypium raimondii (Peruvian cotton)
Lineage: Eukaryota; Viridiplantae; Streptophyta; Magnoliopsida; Malvales; Malvaceae
Source: Rfam